This 661-nucleotide ribosomal RNA is filed under the name uncultured bacterium. RNAcentral describes it as "bacterial SSU rRNA". It matches the Rfam family "Bacterial small subunit ribosomal RNA", at positions 708 to 1377 of the family's 1533-position model. The record is from RNAcentral.
GAGUCGUUAGGAUAGCUUACUAAUCCAUUACUGACGCUGAGGCACGAAAGCGUGGGGAUCAAACAGGAUUAGAUACCCUGGUAGUCCACGCCGUAAACGAUGAUCACUCGCUGUUUGCGAUAUACAGCAAGCGGCUAAGCGAAAGCGUUAAGUGAUUUCUUUGGGGAGUACGAUCGCAAGGUUGAAACUCAAAGGAAUUGACGGGGGCCCGCACAAGCGGAGGAACAUGUGGUUUAAUUCGAUGAUACGCGAGGAACCUUACCUGGGCUUAAAUGGGGAACGACAGCUGCUGAAAGGUGGCCUUCUUCGGACGUUCUUCAAGGUGCUGCAUGGUUGUCGUCAGCUCGUGCCGUGAGGUGUCGGGUUAAGUCCCAUAACGAGCGCAACCCUUACUGUUAGUUGCCAGCGCGUCAAGGCGGGGACUCUAGCGGGACUGCCACCGUAAGGUGAGAGGAAGGUGGGGAUGACGUCAAAUCAGCACGGCCCUUAUGUCCAGGGCUACACACGUGUUACAAUGGCCGGUACAAAGGGCAGCUACUCCGCGAGGGGAUGCCAAUCUUGAAAGCCGGUCUCAGUUCGGAUCGAAGUCUGCAACCCGACUUCGUGAAGUUGGAUUCGCUAGUAAUCGCGCAUCAGCCAUGGCGCGGUGAAUACUUCCCGU